UGUCUUUGAGGAGGUGGUUCGGGUUUCCUAGAGGCGUCAAAGUCAUAAAAGACAAGUCUUCUGUCCUCGGGGAGCCGGUGGAUCGUAUGUCCAGAGGUGACCCUGAAGAUCAGCCCUGACCAUGCUGAGAUUUGGGCAGCACCUGAUCAAGCCCUCGGUGGUGUUCCUGAGGACAGAGCUGAGCUUUGCUCUGGUGAACCGCAGGCCGGUGCUGCCAGGCCGUAUCCUUGCCAUGCUGCUGCUCCCUGGGAAGGGCAGGACAAGCUCAGGACGCUUGGAAGGCCAGUGCUUUCAUACAGAAGUUCAUUAUUCACUUGAAGAACAAGUUCAACAACAUGAAAGCGCCUCUGUCCCUUCCUGCUGCUUCCAAAGAGAGCUUCUGGUGUGAUUAUUCCAAAUAUAUUCGGCCUCUGACCUCAGAGUAAGAUUGACAUGGCUCUUCAUAUUGUCAAGAACCUUCUUGUAUGGCUGUGGGGAAGGUGAGAAGUUAUCAGCAUGUAGUUUCAGCUCUGUCUUUCAGGUAAUAAAGGCUAACAUGCUGCCCUGGUAGUGUUUCA
This 557-nucleotide long non-coding RNA is filed under the name Junco hyemalis (dark-eyed junco). Its description in RNAcentral is "lncRNA (ENSJHYG00000008251.1)". The record is from RNAcentral. Lineage: Eukaryota; Metazoa; Chordata; Aves; Passeriformes; Passerellidae.